UUUGCAAUCCUAGUUUUUUUUUUUAAUUCUCAUAAAACUUUAUUGAUGGACAUCAAGAUUUGAAUUUGACAUGACUUUUCACAUGCUACAAAAAUAUUUUCUUCUGUUGAUAGUUCUCAACCUUUGAAAAAUGGAAAAACCAUUCUUAGCAGGUUCUGCACAAAACCAAGCAAUGGGGGAGGGGCUUGGGCUGCAGGGGCAGUUGGCUGAGCCCUG
This is a long non-coding RNA of Perognathus longimembris pacificus (Pacific pocket mouse), 216 nucleotides long. RefSeq lists it as uncharacterized. The transcript has 3 exons. NCBI's taxonomy places the organism in Eukaryota, Metazoa, Chordata, Mammalia, Rodentia, Heteromyidae. The record is from RefSeq and is a predicted model, not a curated record.